GCCGAGGUGGUGGAAUUGGUAGACGCAGCGGACUCAAAAUCCGCCGAGCUUAUGCUCGUGAGGGUUCGAAUCCCUCCCUCGGCA
This 84-nucleotide transfer RNA is filed under the name Fidelibacterota bacterium. RNAcentral describes it as "tRNA-Leu". It matches the Rfam family "tRNA". From Rfam's summary of the family: Transfer RNA (tRNA) molecules are approximately 80 nucleotides in length. Their secondary structure includes four short double-helical elements and three loops (D, anti-codon, and T loops). Lineage: Bacteria; Pseudomonadati; Fidelibacterota. The record is from RNAcentral. RNAcentral also lists the same sequence under 1 other name.